Ahaetulla prasina is the source of this 13098-nucleotide RNA transcript. It is a transcript of the gene named zinc finger and SCAN domain-containing protein 12-like, with no coding region annotated. NCBI's taxonomy places the organism in Eukaryota, Metazoa, Chordata, Lepidosauria, Squamata, Colubridae. The record is from RefSeq and is a predicted model, not a curated record. The transcript is spliced from 9 exons.
CCUCGCCUGCUCUGCGGCUCCGCCAUUAAUCCAGAGCCCGGCCGGCGGGAUCGAAGAGGAGAGAAAAGGCGCGGCGCCGUCGGAUCCACCCACCCAGCCAGCCACCCGCGCACCUCCCGUUCCCCCAGAUCUCGCACUCCGGGGACGGGCUCCUCUUUCCCGGCUCCGCUGCAACGGCGGGGACGGCCGGGUGCAAACGGCCGGGAUUGCAGGAGCUCCCUCUGCAAACCAAGAGAGAUCAAUAAGAGCUUCACAGCCUCUUCUGUAACCUGGAAGCUAACAAGCUCCUGGCUUGGGAUUCCCUUCUGCCAGUCCAGAGGAGAAAAUGGGACUUGGGUUUCAAACCAGAAUUUAAAAGAAGCGAGGAAAAGCUUCCCCUCCAGUUAGCUUAAUCGGGGCUGGGUGUUUUUAUGAAGUGAUCCAGUUCCAAAUUGGUGGUUUGACAAUUUUGGAGAGUCAUGGAGCCAAAAUCUAAAAGUCCAGAAGGGGAACAUGUACGGAAACCCUGUAGUGACGAUUUCUCCAAAUGCACGGAGAUGGAGCCCUUAGGAUGGAAGCUUUCGCACGAAAUCAAACGGGAAUCUUUCCGAGGGUUGCAGCAACCCUGGAAAACCCAGUGGCAGGAUUUCCUGAAGACUUUGCCCUCUCCCCACGUGGGAUGGGAGGAAGACUCUGAGAUGCUGGCCAAUGCCCCUUGGGAUGACCCCAAGGCCUUCCUGAUCUCCUUUGAGCAGGUGGCCCAAGCCUGUCAAUGGCCCACGGGCGAGUGGGUGACUCGACUCCUGCCAGCCUUGAAUGGGGAAGCGAAGCGGGCCUUCAGCGGCUUAGAAGCAAGGGACAAGGAGGAUUAUGGGAAAGUGAAGGCGGCCAUCUUGAGAGGGGAAGCCAUCAGGAUCGAGGUGCAACGGCAGCACUUCCGGCAGUUCCGCUUCCAGGAGAUCGAAGACCCGCGUAGGGUUUACGGACAACUGCAGAGGCUUUGCCGCCAGUGGCUGAAGCCGGAGAGACGCACCAAAGAGCAGAUUCUGGAGCUGCUGAUCCUGGAGCAGUUCCUGGCCAGCCUCCCAUCGGAGCUCCAGAGCUGGAUCCGAGCAGGAGGGUUGGACACAUGUUCCCAGGCGGUGGCCUUGAUAGAGAAUUUCCUGCUGAACCGGCAGGAGGUUAAGGAGCCGUCGCAGGAGGCCAUCGCCAAGGGUUCCCUGGGUGAAGAGCGGGUUAUCUUGGAUGUUGAUGAGGAAGAGAACUAUAAAGACAUUAAACAGAACAAUGACGGAGUAAUCCAUUUGUUGGGUAAUGGAAGCAAAGACUGUGGCGAUUCCAGCUCCUUGCUUCCUCCCGAGGGAGAGGAAACGGAUCAAACUUCUCCUAGUAAGGAUCUCGCGAACUUGAAAGACGCUGGUGUUUCGCUGAGUGUGGUUGAGCCCAGCCCGAUCCAUUCGGGUCAGCAGACCAUGUUCUGGCAAGUCAUGCAGGAGGAAGAUGGGGAUGCAGAUUCUUUGGAGGGACUCUUGGUGCCCAAACCAGACCUGGCUUCCAAUCCAGAAGAAGAAGAAGAAGAAGAAGGGGAGCCGGUUUUCAUCCAGUUUCCUGUUGAAAGUGAGAGAAUUCCAAAUCCCGAAACAGGACCCAAGGACUCUUCGCUUUCGAAGACGGCGCCCAGCCCGUCAGGAGGCGCCCAGUUCUCCCGGAACAUCUCUUGUCCCCUCCGGGAUUUCACAGGCUCCCACUGGAAGCAUCCCCGCUGGACAGACGAUGAAAUCCAAGCUUUUAUUGAGAUCUGGGGGGACACAUCUGUACAGCGAGCCCUCUUCUCAAACUACCGGACGGUCUCUCAGUUUGAGUGGAUCUCGUGCCAGAUGAAGGCUCGGGGUUACGACCGGAAUUGGCUCCAGUGCCGGGAAAAAGCCAAACAUCUCCGGAAAAUCUACAAGGACUGCCUUGGCGGGCACAGCCACUGGGGAACUGGGAGGAGAGCGUGGCCUUUUUUCAACCAGCUGAAUCAAUUCCUGCGCGUUGAGCAGGAGCUGGUGGUUCCGCGGGAGAUCGGGCGUAAGGAGGUCCAGCAUCAUCUCGUCGACCGCCGGCGCAAAAGAAUGAGGAACCCGGCUGGUCUGGUGGCCAAACCUGCCCAGGUUCAAGUGGAGGUAGAAGCCCGUGAGCUGCAGACAAAGAAGCAGGCAAAACAUCCCACUCGCUUGCCCAAUGGGACGUCCCGCUCAGGAAGCCAAAAGCCGCCACUGACAAAUGCCGAACGGAUGAGAAACAUUCGCAAGUCCUGGCAGGAAAGGAAAGCGCACGUCAGUCAAGCCCGAGGCGGAAUUGGGGACUCUGCGACGGGAAGCCCUCUCAAGGACCCAGCCCUGCCGGGGUCCCACAAGGCCGACCCGGCACCCUCGAGUGAAAUUGAGAAGGCAUGGGAAGAGUGCGAAAGGAAAGCGGUGGAAAAGCUGGAAGGCUACUUACGUGAGAAAGGCUGGAAACUUCAAACCGGGCACUCGAGCCGGACCGGAAUUCUCCAGGAUGUCUUGUCCAUCGUUUGCAAGGGCCGUACGGCUCCAUCUCUGCCCGUUCUUACUUCCCCUGCCCAAGAGCCCCCUUUUUCUUCCCCGACGCCCCGUUCUGAAACAUCGACAGAGUCCCAAAUCUCAGCGGAGCCGUGCAAAAAUUCAGAGGCCCCUUCGGCCUCUUCUCCUCCUCCUCUUCCUCCUCUUCCUCUUCCUCCUUCUUCUCAGGGCGGCUUGUCGGACAGAAGCAUUCGCCUGAAAAGGAAGCGUUCUCUGCCGGCACGGUUUCAGUGCUGACCUUGUUUUAUUCCCUUUGCGGGUUCGUGCGUCAGCUGGUUAGUUGGCUCACACCCUCCUCAGGGUUUGGGCUUGGAUGUUUUGCCCUUUCUUCCUUUACAAUCGUAGAAUCGAACAAGGUGUGUUAGAUGCUGGCUCCUCCACGACAAAACAAAUCCGAAAUAAAACUUCAUUGCCCGUUUGAUGAGCCGCAGUGGUUAGAAUGCAGUACUGCAGGCUCAUUCUGCCAACUGCCAGCAGUUCAAUUCAAGGUUGACUCAGCCUUCCGUCCUUCCAAGGUCGUUAAAAUGAGGACAUCGAUUGUUGGGGCAAUAGGCUGAUUCUGUAAACCGCUUAGAGACGGCUGUGAAGCACUGUGAAGCGGUAUACAAGUCUAUUGCUAUCUUGGCCAUUUCUGUAGGGUUGGUGAGAUUUGGACUGCUAUGAGCCAUGGUGGUGCAGCGGUUAGAAUGCAGUAUUGCAGGCUAACUCUGCUGACUGCCAGGGGUUCGAUCCUCACCGGCUCAAGGUUGAGUCAGCCUUCUAUCCUUCCGAGGUCGGUAAAAUGAGGACCCAGAUUGCUGGUGGGGGAAAUGCUGACUCUGUAAACCGCUUAGAGAGGGCUGUAAAACACUGAAGCGAUAUAUAAGUCUAAGUGCUAAUGCUAUUGGGGACAGUGAGGAGUUUGGGGUUGUCAGUAAUUUCCUGACAGGACACAGCAGCCUUCCUGGAAUCCAUGCAGGGUAUCGGGAUCAGCUCUGCAGUUCUGUUAAUUUUUUUUUUUUUUUCAGUUUACUGAAUUUUUACGCCAUCAAACUCCCAGUGAGUCAGGGUGAUUUAAUUCGGCGUUUUUGUUUUUUUUAAAAAAGUAACAGUCAGUAUAAGGAGCACAACUGGUUUAACUUGUCUGUUAUAAUUGCAGUUACAACAGACAAAUAAAUCUGCUUUCUUGAUACGGGAUAAAUCAAGUUAAUAUCUUGAAAACUGGUAGCUCCUAGUAGUCUUCAACUUACAGCCAUUCGUUUACCAACUGUUUGGACUUAAAAUGACACUGAAAUGGGGACUUACAACUGGUAAAUGUAUGAUUUUUGUAGCGUCCCCACGGUCACAUGAUCCAACUUGGCCACUGUCAUGGGAUCACGUGAUUGCCAUUUAUGACUUUCCCAGCCGGCUUACGACAAGCCCAAGUCAAUGCGGGAAGCCAGAUUCGUUUAACGGCUGUAUGGUUCACUUUACAACUGCAGUGAUUCAAUGAACAGCCAUAGUAAAAGCACUAAAAAAAAAACGGCACAACUCGUUUUCAGUGCCUUGCUUAAGCAGUAGCAAUUCUGGCCUCAAUUUGGGGUCAUAAGUUGAGGACUACCCAGAGAAGGGCGUUCUCAGUUUUCAACGUUUUUCCUCAAAAAAAUUUUUUUUGAAAUGAAUUACCGUAUUUUUUCGGAUUAUAAAUUGCACUUUUUUGUCUCCCAAACGGGGUGAAAAUUCCUGUGCGUCUUAUAGACUGAAUAUUGCCAGCCUUUUUUUUUUUUGCCUCUGCACACCUCAUUUUCGGGGUAUUUUCCAGCCUGUUUUCAAGGCUUAUUUUUACCUCGAAAUGGGACCAAAAAAAGCCUCGAAAAAGGGCCGAAAAAAGCCUCGAAAACAGGCUGAAAACAAGCCUCAAAAACGGGUUGGAAAGAGCCUCAAAAACAGGCCGAAAAAAAGCCCCAAAAUGGGCCGAAAAAAGGCCCAAAAGAAGGGAGGCCAAAAACCAUUUUUUGUUCUUUUCCCCUUCUAAAUUUAUAGUCCGAAAAAUACAGUACUAGCUUCUAAAUGUGCCAGGAGUCAGCCAUUUGUUAAGGGCCGGAUGCUGCCCCUCCUCUGUUUCCACAGGCGCAUCUGACAGAUGCACCAGCCGAGGAGCACAACAGCUGUCGGAUGGUGCCAUCUUACCGAUGAUAGGGUGCCCCACCUGUCACACUUAAUGACCGUUGCCGUAUCUCCAUGGUCAUGUGAUUUAUAUUCAGAUGCUUGGCAACUGACUCAUAUUUAUGAUGGUUGUGUUGUGUCUUGCCCGCUCUCACCGCAGCCGGGGUCUUCUUAUCUGCUUCCGAACGCUGAGGAAUGUCCUAGUAUGCCUCCCGGCCCCAGCCCUGGCUCCAUGCCCAAGCAGGCUGCAGAGGAGGGAGCAUCCCCCGGCCCCAGCCCUGGCUCCAUGCCCAGGCAAACGGAGCAACUAGACCCCUCCCCCUCCCCCACAGCAUGUGAGCCUGAGGAAGGUCAAUUACCAACAGCUGCAGACUGGAGUGACCCUCGCUUCAGAAGAAUGGAUAGGCGGAGGCAACAGAAGGAAGGGAGGGGCAGGCCUGGAUAAGUGCUGAGUCAUGGAGCCACACUCCAUGGCCUAUAUAAAGGAUCUGCUUUCUGGCAUUCUCUGAGUCAGGCAAAGUCUAAACAUAUCUUGCUGAAGUCACUUUCUGGUCUCCUGCCUGCUCUGAGGACUUUGCUAGGACUUUGGGCAGAGCUGCAGAGGCAAGCCUGAUUCGGAUUUCCCUGACCCAGCCGUCAGCGGAGGAGUGGGACACGACAGGUUGCAGUGUCCCCAAAAGCGAUCCCCUUUCGCGACCUGACCAGGAAAGUCAACGGGGAAGCCAGAUUCACUCUACAACCCUGUGACUCGUUUAACAACUGCAGUGAUUCACUUAGCAAAUGUGGCAAGAAAAGUCGUCAAAUGAAGCAAAGCUCACUUAACGCGCAUUUCUCACUUAGCAACAUGAAUCCUGGGCUCAAUUGUGGUCGUAAGUCGAGAACGCCCUGUAUUUAGGACAGUUGCAGAAUCCUGAGGUAACAUUUGUGACCUACCGGGGCAACUUUCAACAAGCCAAAACAAUGGGGAAAGCAAAUAGGCUGUAAAAUUGGGCGCGACUCACUUAACAACCGCAUCACUUAGCAACAGAAUUCUUACCCUGAUUGUGGUCAAAAGUAGAGGACUUCCUGUGAAAAAGAUCUUAUCCACAGGGCCUUUCGGGAUGAAAAUCAUGGGAGUUUGGUAGGUUGGCGACAGCCCUUUCAUUUUUUUUCUUUGUAGGCAAGUGUCUCAUAUUUAUGACUGUUGUGAUGUGCUGGGGACACAUGAUCCCCUUUUACGACCUUUUGAGGAGCAAAACCAAUGGGGAAGCCAGAUUCACUUAACAACUGUGACAGGAACGGUUGUAAAACGGGGCAAGCUUAACCAAUGUCUCACUUGGGCCUCUGGUGGCUCAACAGGCUAAUGCAGUCUGUUAUUAAACACAGCUGCCUGCAAUUACUGCAGGUUCAAGUCCCACCAGGCCCAAGGUUGACUCAGCCUUCCAUCCUUUAUAAGGUAGGUAAAAUGAGGACCCAGAUUGUUGAGGGCAAUAAGUUGACUUUGUAUAUAAUAUACAAAAGGAUGAAGACUAUUGCUUGACAUAGUGUAAGCCGCCCUGAGUCUUCGGAGAAGGGCGGGAUAUAAAUGCAAAUUAAAACAACAACAACAACAACUUAACAACAGAAAUGUUGGGUCCAAUUGUCAUAAAUUGAGGAUUUCCUGUAUCUUGAAUGCUUGGCAAGUUGAAGAUGUGUAGACUUCAACUCCCAGAAUUCCCCAGCCAGCAUGAAUAAAAUGUGCAGGGAUACCUCCGGUACCGUGUUAGUUAAUGCAAGUGAAGCAGUUGAUAAAUGAAUCUGGCUUCCGUCCCCAUUGAUUUUGCUCGUCGAAAGGUCGCAAAAGGGGAUUACAUGACCUUGGGACAGAGCAACAGUCGUAAGUGUGAACCAGUCGCCAAGCAUCUGAAUUUUGAUCACAUGAUCGUGGGGAUGCACUAAGGCAGCGGUUCUCAACCUGUGAGUCGGGACCCCGUUGGGGGUCGAAUGACAAUUUGCCAGGGGUCGCCUAAGACCAUCGGAAAUAUGGGAAGUAUACUUGCGAGUCGAAGAAUCGCAUUCCAAUGUUUGACUCCACAAGCCAGCUGCAGGCUCUUCAAAUCGCUAGCCGAAUUCGGCUUCAGGCGCGAUGAAUUAAAAAAGAGAGAAAUCUUUGCUCUGAUGUCUCCCUCUCAAGCCAGCUGCAAUCGCUCCCAAUCGCUAGCCUAAUCUGGCUUCAGGCGCCAUAAACUUAAUAGGGGUCUCCGCUUUAAUGCCUCCGUCCUCAAGGCAAUCGCAAGCAGUUCAUAUCACUAGCCAAUACGGCUUCAGGCGUGAUAAAUUCAAAACGAAAAUAAUUUUAUGGUUGGGGUCGCCACAUCGUGGGGAAUUGUAUUAAAGGGGUCACAGCACUAUGAAGUUUGUAGACCCCUGCACUGAGUGAACACUUGUAAGUAAGUUGAGGACUGCCUGUAUCUUCUAGCAGUCUCUUUUGUCGUCAGCCAUUCAGUCGUGGUCCAGUCUCUGGCCACUCUAGGAUGAACCAUAGAGUGGCUGAGGGUCGGACAUGACCGAACGGCUGACUAUGAUGAAAGGCACUGUUAGAAGAUAUUAACUAACAUGGUGUUGGAAGUAUCCCCACACAUCGUAGGCCACUGCGAGAGACCAGCAACUCAGCCCACGUGGCUGGUAAUUUGGGAAAAAGUGCUUCGAAUCACUUGAAACUCCACUUUUAACAAACUCUAGCCAAAAAUGCAAUCCUAGGUUUCAUUAACCAAGGGAUGGCAUCGAGAUACUGGGUAUGUCUAGUUUAACAAAAAGAAGGACUAGGGGAGACAUGAUAGCUGUGUUCCAAUAUCUCAGGGGUUGCUACAAAGAAGAGGGAGUCGGGCUGUUCUCCAAAGCACCUGAGGGUAGAACAAGAAGCAGUGGGUGGAAACUGAUCAAAGAAAGAAGCAACUUAGAACUAAGAAGAAAUUUCCUGACAGUUAGAACAAUUAAUAAGUGGAACGACUUGCCUGCAGAAGUUGUGAAUGCUCCAACACUGGAAAUUUUUAAGAAACUGUUGGAUAACCAUCUGACUGAGAUGGUGUAGGGUUUCCUGCCUGGGCAGGGGGUUGGACUAGAAGGCCUCCAAGGUCCCUUCCAACUCUGAUGUUAUGUUAUGUUAUGAGAUCACGUGAAGUACUAGUACCGCUUGUGUAUGGAGAUUCUCCGUCAUCCAGGUCAUGGUUGUCCCAAAGGUGCUUUUUUUCAAGAGGCAACUGGACUUUCUGGUUUUUUUUGUUUUUGUUUUUCUUUGAACAUGUUUCGCUUCUUAUCCAGUCAGAACUGAAGAAGCUUCUUGGAUGAGAAGCGAAAUGUCUUAAAAGAAAAAAAAAACCCCAGAAAAUCCAGUUGGCUCUUGAAAAAGCACCUUUGGGAUUACUAGUACCGUUUUAUAAAGCCUGAGUAAGGCCACACUUGGAAUACUGCAUCCAGUUUUGGUCACCAUAUUAUAAAAAAGAUGUUGAGACUCUGGAAAGCAUGAUGAAAGGGGCAACAGAAAUGAUUAGGGGCUGGAGGCUAAAAUAUAAUAAAGAACGGUUGCAGGAACUGGGUAUGUCUAGUUUAACGAAAAGAAGGACUAGGGGAGACAUGAUAGCAGUGUUCCAAUAUCUCAGGGGCUGCCACAAAGAAGAGGGAGUCAAACUAUUCCCCAAACCACCUGAGUGCAGGACAAGAAGCAAUGGAUGGAAACUAAUCAAGGAGAGAAGUAACCUGGAAUUAAGGAGAGACGUUCCAUCUGAGAACAAUUCACCAGUGGAACAACUUGCCUCAAAAACUUGUGAAUGCUCCAUCACUGGACGUUUCUAAGAAGAGAUUGGCCAGCCACUGGUCUGGAAUAGUAUAGGGUCUCCUGCUUGAUCAGGGGUUGGAUUAGAAGACCUCGAUGGUCCUUUCCAACUCUGUCGUUCUGUUAUUUUCUAAGGUUCUGUAUUGACUCUGAAUUAGCAUUAAAGAGAUCGUAUUGAAAUCUGUGUAUGCCUUACUUUCUUGACCUUGCUCAGCGGAGCUGAAUUUGCUAUAAAAAAAGAUAAAGACAAUUACAUUUGCGCUAAUAGAUCAUCCUUGGUCUUCAGUUACGUUCUGAAUUUUAAUUUUGAACUUGUCCUGCUCUUGUUACGAAGUGUAUUCGGUGUCUUCAACCUUAGAGCACGGGGGCCGCUUGCCCCCAAUGAGAAAGGUUAAAAUAGACAAAACGAGGCAGCAUAAAAAUAAAAGUACGUUGCAAAUUUUUUAUUGUUGCAAAGCUGUACACAUUGGUUAUACGUGGGUUGCAGUUGUUUGUUCUUCUCUUGAGGAAAUUUACCUACAGAUUUUGCUAAAAAAUCGGCACUGUAUUGAAAGUACAGGUAGUCCUCGACUUACGACAGUUCAUUUAGUGACCAUUCAAAGGUACAACGGUUCUGAAAAAAAGUAGCUUACCACCGUUUUUCACACUUAUGACCGUGACAGCAUGGCCGCCAUAACAAAAUUCAGACGCUUGGCAAUCGACUGACUGAUAGCUAUGGUGUCCCCUUUUGUGACCUUCUGACAAGCAAAAUCCGUGGGUGGGUGGCUCAGGCUGUAAGAUAGCCUGUUAUUAAACACAGCUGCUUGCAAUUACUGCAGGCUCGAGUCCCACCAGGCCCAAGGUUGACUCAGCCUUCCAUCCUUUAUAAGGUAGGUAAAAUGAGGACCCAGAUUGUUGGGGGGGGCAAUAAGUUGACUUUGUAUAUAAAUAUACAAAUAGAAUGAAGACUAUUGCCUUACACAAGUAAGCCGCCCUGAGUCUUCGGAGAAGGGCGGGAUAUAAAUGUAAAUUUAAAAAAAAAAUCAACGGGGGAAGCCGGAUUCAACUUAACAACUGUUUUACUAAUUUUAACAACUGCAGUGAUUCACUGAACAACUGUGGCUAGAAAGCUCGUAAAAUGGGGCAAAAUGUCUCCCUUGCCAACAGAAACGUUGAACUCGAUUGUGGUCGUAAGUCAAGGACUACCUGUAAUCUUUAUGUUCAAAGGGAGCCCGUGACUUGGUUGUACAGGUAGUCCUCGAUUUAACAAAACGUUUCAUUUAGCAACGGAAAUUUUGGGUUCAACUUUGAUCGUAGGGGGAGGACUACCUGCGUUCUGUAAAUGUUGUGCUAUAGACUACUGCAAUGCACUCUACCUGGGGCUGCCCUUGAAGAGUGUAUGGAAACUUCAACUGGUACGGGCCUCUGUGGCUCAGACUGGUAAGACAGUCUGUUAUUAACAGCAGCUGCCUGCAAUUACUGCAGGUUCAAGCCCCACUAGGCCCAAGGUUGACUCAGCCUUCCAUCCUUUAUAAGGUAGGUAAAAUGAGGACCCAGAUUGUUGGGGGCAAUAAGUUGACUUUGUAUAUAAUAUACAAAUGGAUGAAGACUAUUGCUAACAUAGUGUAAGCCGCCCUGAGUCUUCGGAGAAGGGCGGGAUAUAAAUGCAAAUUAAAAAAAAACAAAACACGGCAGUGCAGGCUGUUAGGUGUGUCUCUAGAAGGGCACAUUUUGCACCGUGGUGGUGCAGUGGUUAGAAUGCAGUAUUGCAGGCUACUUCUGCUGACUGCCAGAGGUUCGAUUCUCACCGGCUCAAGAUUGACUCUACCUUCUAUUCUUCCGAGGUCAAUAAAAUGAGGACACAGAUUGUUAGGGGGCAAUAUGCGGACUCUUAAACCACUCAGUGCUGUAACGCAUGAUUUGAGCGGUAUAUAAUUCUAACUGCUAUCGUUAGAAUGCUGCAACCAGCGAUAAAAGUUGAGUCAGUUGCCAAGCACCUGAAAUGCAAUCGCAACUGUGAGGAUAUCUGCAGCUGUCAGAAGGAACCAGGUCUUAAGUAAAUUUGGGGGAGGCAGUGGGGGUAUCCAUCGUAACUUUGAACGGUUAGAAUAGAAUAGAAUUUUUUAUUGGCCAAGUGUGAUUGGACACACAAGGAAUUUGUCUUGGUGCAUAUGCUCUCAGUGUACAUAAAAGAAAAGAUACCUUCAUCAAGGUACAACAUUUACAACACAAUUGAUGAUCAAUAUAUCAAUAUAAAUCAUAAGGAUUGCCAGCAACAAGUUAUAGUCAUACAGUCAUAAGUGGAAAGAGAUUGGUGAUGGGAACUAUGAAACGAUUAAUAGUAGUGCAGAUUCAGUAAAUAGUCUGACAGUGUUGAGGGAAUUAUUUGUUUAGCAGAGUGAUGGCCUUCGGGAAAAAACUGUUCUUGUGUCUAGUUGUUCUGGUGUGCAGUGCUCUAUAGCGUCGUUUUGAGGGUAGGAGUUGAAACAGUUUAUGUCCAGGAUGCGAGGGAUCUGCAAAUAUUUUCACGGCCCUCUUGAUUCGUGCAGUAUACAGGUCCUCAAUGGAAGGCAGGUUGGUAGCAAUUAUUUUUUCUGCAGUUCUAAUUAUCCUCUGAAGUCUGUGUUUUUCUUGUUGGGUUGCAGAACCGAACCAGACGGUUAUAGAGGUGCAAAUGACAGACUCAAUAAGCAAUAGCAAUACAGGGAGUCCUCAACUUAACCUCAAUUGAGCCUUUGCUAAGUGAGAAAUUGGUAAGAAAUAAAAUUGGUGAUUGAGUUUUGCCCGAUUUUAUGACUUGGCGUGCCACAUUUAAGGACCCAGAUUGUUGGGGGCAAUAUGCUGACUCUGUAAACUGCUUAGAGAGGGUUGUAAAAGCACUGUGAAGCGGCAUAUAAGUCUAUUGCUAUUUCUUAAGUGAAUCUCUACAGUUUUUGAGCUGGUAACACAGUUGUUAAGUGAAUCUUAACAACUGAGUGCUUCGGGAGAAGGGCGGUAUAAAAAUUUAAUUAAUAAAUAAAUAAAAUAAAUCUGGUUUCCCCAUUGAGUUUGACAGAAAGUCACAAAGGGGAAUCCCAUGACUUCCCACAGGUCACUGCACCCGUCAUAAAUACGAGCCAGUGUCAAGAAUCUGAAUGUAAACCACGGUGCUGCAAUGGUCGUAAGUGUGAAAAAUGGUUGUAAGUCACUAUUUUCAGUGCUGUUAUAACGUUGGUCACAAAACGGAUUGUUGUUGUAAGUCGAGGACUAUCUGUAGCGUUGAGAUUUAUAUACCACUCCAUCGUGCUUUAUAGCAUUCUGAGUAGUUUACAAUGUCAGCAUAUUGCUCCCUACAAUCUGGGUCUUCAUUUUAUAGACCUCAGAAAGACAGAAGGCUGAGUCAACCUUGAGCUGGUCAGGAUCGAACUCCUGGCAGCGAGCUGAAUUAGCCCUGCAAGACUGCAUUCUAACAACUGCACCACCGGGGUUUCUUAUCAACGGUUGCUAAGUGGCUGGUCAUUAAGAGACCACAAUGUGGAGAUGUAACCAAACAUUUCCUUGGCUCUUGUCCUAUGUACCUCCAGCACCACUGAGGAGAACCGAUUCCCUCAUUAUAAAUUGAAUAACUUUAAUUACCGCGUUCUGAACAUGGGUGCUAUUCAGCAGGAUCUGACAGGUUCUGGAGAACCGGCAGUGGAAAUUUUGAGUAGUUUGGCAAAUACCACCUCUGGCUGACCCCAGAGUGGGGUGGGAAUGGAGAUUUUGCAAUAUCCUUCCCCUCAGUGGUGAAAUCUGAACCGGUUUAGUACCAGUUUGGUGGCUGUGUGCUUGCGCACUGCACACCAAAAGGAAGGUAAGAAUAGUGCGCGCGGGAGGGGAGGGUGAUCAGCUGUGGCGUGCAAUCAUCGGAGCCUUUUUUUAAUUUUUUUUUUAAGCAUUUUUUUACUACCUGUUUGGGCAAAUAGGCUGUAAGAAAAUGCUUUUAAAAGUAAAAAAAAAAGGUUUGGACGAUUCCUUGCCACAACUGUGAUUGUCAGAGCCUUUUUUUUUUUACUUUUAUAAAUGCAUUUUUUUACUACCUAUUCCUAUCAUUCGGGCGGGAAAAGCGAGUGAGCCGGAAAGAAGCGGCAAGCGGGCGACAGGGUGGGCAUGGGUGGGGGGGGGGAGGAGGGAUUUUUGCUACCAGUUCUCCGAACCACCCGCCGCCAUCGCUACCAGAUCGGCCGAUCUAGUCCGAACCGGGAGCAUUUCGCCCCUGCUUCUGCCACAGCCACCAAGCCACGCUCACAGAACUAGUAGUAAAAAAAUUUGAAUUCCACCACUGGUUCUGAAUCCCUGAAUGUAAACGCGUGUCACAUUAACCUAAUGGCAGGGCAGGAAGACGGGAUGUUUAGUAACCACGUUCUAACUCAGUUGGAAGAAAGAAGCGGGAAGUUAGGACAGCCAUUUAAAAAAAAAAAAGAUUGUAGGAAAGAAACGAGCCGAUUCAGAGCAAAGUUCCUUUCUUGUUUCCCUUUAGGUGACGAAAAGAGGUCUUGGAUGCAAGUGAAGAGCUCCCAAAUGGAAGGCGAGACGGAGACGCUGACCGAAUUCUCACAGUGGAACAUGCCUGCAACGACAACCAUUCACGAACAAAAUUGCGAGCCCAACGUGGGGCAGGGG